CAUCACAGUCAGAGUUCUAGCU
RNAcentral lists this microRNA (22 nucleotides) under Bombyx mori (domestic silkworm). Its description in RNAcentral is "bmo-miR-11-3p". Its record names the gene bmo-miR-11-3p. Lineage: Eukaryota; Metazoa; Arthropoda; Insecta; Lepidoptera; Bombycidae. The record is from miRBase by way of RNAcentral. RNAcentral also lists the same sequence under 3 other names.